AACAGCUCUAUACUAUGGCUUCAGCUAGAAAGAAAGCCUCUUGUUUAUACUCCAUUUCGCUGUUUUAUUCGUAAUCCUCGUCCUGUAGUUUUUAAAUUUCAGCCUAUUUUCGCGCUAUUCAAGCCUUUUGAAGGCAAACUUAUAUUUAAAAUUCAGGAUAUUAUUAUGUCUAAUACAACUACUGGUACAGUUAAAUGGUUUAACGAAUCUAAAGGUUUCGGCUUUAUCGAGCAGAAAUCUGGACCAGACGUUUUUGCACACUUCAGUGCAAUUGCUAGCUCGGGUUUCAAAACCUUAGCUGAAGGCCAACAAGUUGAGUUCACUGUAACUCAAGGCCAAAAAGGUCCACAAGCUGAGAACAUCGUCGCUAUCUAAGCCUCGAUCUCGCUUUUAAAAAAGGGCAAGCCUUAUGGGGUUGCCCUUUUUU
This 427-nucleotide small RNA is filed under the name Saccharophagus degradans 2-40. Its description in RNAcentral is "cspA thermoregulator". It matches the Rfam family "cspA thermoregulator". The record is from Rfam by way of RNAcentral. Lineage: Bacteria; Pseudomonadati; Pseudomonadota; Gammaproteobacteria; Cellvibrionales; Cellvibrionaceae.